Long non-coding RNA from Cydia splendana, 169 nucleotides. RefSeq lists it as uncharacterized. The record is from RefSeq and is a predicted model, not a curated record. Lineage: Eukaryota; Metazoa; Arthropoda; Insecta; Lepidoptera; Tortricidae. The transcript is spliced from 2 exons.
CGACAGCGCAAAGUUAGCAUUUAGCACUCACAUUGAUAGAUAUUCACUAUGAUUUUGAAGAGUUUAUUUAUUAGUUUGUUUGCUAUUAGUUUUGCUUACAUUACUGAUAUUGAAUCAGAGGAUAAGCUCAUUGAUUUAUACGCACACCGUAAUCGUAACUAUGAAGUAA